GUGCAAACACUUAUUUUAUGUAUGCUCCUCAGGAAGGAGUUGGAACAACUUGCCUUCUCACUCGUCAAUUGCUGAAACUGAUAUGAGACUAUGGGCAAAGGCAAAUAGCUAAGAAAUGUUAUCGUGGUUUCUUUCUUCUAAAACUUGUCCUAAUUCCCGGCUACCCGUUAAUCUUCUGAUUCUUAUUUCACUUUUCUUUGAAGUGGCUAUUUUAUGUAUUGGAGCUUUAACUCACGAUGAAUACAUGUUAAUCUCUUUGUUUACAAGAGCUCAUCAGGUCCUGAAAUGCUUGAGUCCUGUGGCCUCUUUCACUACACAGCUGUACCAAGUUAAGUCUUUU
This 340-nucleotide long non-coding RNA is filed under the name Homo sapiens (human). Its description in RNAcentral is "HSALNT0173186". The record is from RNAcentral. Lineage: Eukaryota; Metazoa; Chordata; Mammalia; Primates; Hominidae.